GACGAACGCUGGCGGCGUGCCUAAUACAUGCAAGUUGAGCGCUGAAGGUUGGUACUUGUACCAACUGGAUGAGCAGCGAACGGGUGAGUAACGCGUGGGGAAUCUGCCUUUGAGCGGGGGACAACAUUUGGAAACGAGUGCUAAUACCGCAUAAAAACUUUAAACACAAGUUUUAAGUUUGAAAGAUGCAAUUGCAUCACUCAAAGAUGAUCCCGCGUUGUAUUAGCUAGUUGGUGAGGUAAAGGCUCACCAAGGCGAUGAUACAUAGCCGACCUGAGAGGGUGAUCGGCCACAUUGGGACUGAGACACGGCCCAAACUCCUACGGGAGGCAGCAGUAGGGAAUCUUCGGCAAUGGACGAAAGUCUGACCGAGCAACGCCGCGUGAGUGAAGAAGGUUUUCGGAUCGUAAAACUCUGUUGGUAGAGAAGAACGUUGGUGAGAGUGGAAAGCUCAUCAAGUGACGGUAACUACCCAGAAAGGGGCGGCUAACUACGUG
This 497-nucleotide ribosomal RNA is filed under the name uncultured bacterium. RNAcentral's name for it is "partial 16S ribosomal RNA". It matches the Rfam family "Bacterial small subunit ribosomal RNA", at positions 28 to 507 of the family's 1533-position model. The record is from RNAcentral.